This 253-nucleotide ribosomal RNA is filed under the name uncultured bacterium. RNAcentral's name for it is "partial 16S ribosomal RNA". It matches the Rfam family "Bacterial small subunit ribosomal RNA", at positions 524 to 776 of the family's 1533-position model. The record is from RNAcentral.
UACGAAGGGGGCUAGCGUUGCUCGGAAUCACUGGGCGUAAAGGGUGCGUAGGCGGGUCUUUAAGUCAGGGGUGAAAUCCUGGAGCUCAACUCCAGAACUGCCUUUGAUACUGAGGAUCUUGAGUAUGGGAGAGGUGAGUGGAAUUGCGAGUGUAGAGGUGAAAUUCGUAGAUAUUCGCAAGAACACCAGUGGCGAAGGCGGCUCACUGGACGACUGAUGACGCUGAGGUGCGAAAGCGUGGGGAGCAAACAGG